Molecule: ribosomal RNA, 492 nt
Filed under: uncultured bacterium
Lineage: Bacteria
Description: partial 16S ribosomal RNA
Rfam family: Bacterial small subunit ribosomal RNA
Source: RNAcentral
AGUGAACGCUGGCGGUAGGCCUAACACAUGCAAGUCGAACGGCAGCACAGUAAGAGCUUGCUCUUACGGGUGGCGAGUGGCGGACGGGUGAGGAAUACAUCGGCAUCUACUUUUUCGAGGGGGAUAACGUAGGGAAACUUACGCUAAUACCGCAUACGACCUACGGGUGAAAGCAGGGGACCUUCGGACCUUGCGCGAUUGAAUGAGCCGAUGUCGGAUUAGCUAGUUGGCGGGGUAAAGGCCCACCAAGGCGACGAUCCGUAGCUGGUCUGAGAGGAUGAUCAGCCACACUGGAACUGAGACACGGUCCAGACUCCUACGGGAGGCAGCAGUGGGGAAUAUUGGACAAUGGGCGCAAGCCUGAUCCAGCCAUGCCGCGUGGGUGAAGAAGGCCUUCGGGUUGUAAAGCCCUUUUGUUGGGAAAGAAAAGCAGCAGGUUAAUACCCCGCUGUUCUGACGGUACCCAAAGAAUAAGCACCGGCUAACUUCGUG